CCUACGGGGUGCUGCAGUGGGGAAUAUUGCACAAUGGGCGCAAGCCUGAUGCAGCCAUGUCGCGUGUGUGAAGAAGGCCUUCGGGUUGUAAAGCACUUUCAGCGGGGAGGAAGGCGGUGAGGUUAAUAACCUCAUCGAUUGACGUUACCCGCAGAAGAAGCACCGGCUAACUCCGUGCCAGCAGCCGCGGUAAUACGGAGGGUGCAAGCGUUAAUCGGAAUUACUGGGCGUAAAGCGCACGCAGGCGGUCUGUCAAGUCGGAUGUGAAAUCCCCGGGCUCAACCUGGGAACUGCAUUCGAAACUGGCAGGCUAGAGUCUUGUAGAGGGGGGUAGAAUUCCAGGUGUAGCGGUGAAAUGCGUAGAGAUCUGGAGGAAUACCGGUGGCGAAGGCGGCCCCCUGGACAAAGACUGACGCUCAGGCGCGAAAGCGUGGGGAGCAAACAGGAUUAGAUACCCGGGUAGUC
This 465-nucleotide ribosomal RNA is filed under the name uncultured Klebsiella sp. RNAcentral describes it as "bacterial SSU rRNA". It matches the Rfam family "Bacterial small subunit ribosomal RNA", at positions 338 to 795 of the family's 1533-position model. The record is from RNAcentral. Lineage: Bacteria; Pseudomonadati; Pseudomonadota; Gammaproteobacteria; Enterobacterales; Enterobacteriaceae.